This is a non-coding RNA of Microcebus murinus (gray mouse lemur), 3689 nucleotides long. NCBI's taxonomy places the organism in Eukaryota, Metazoa, Chordata, Mammalia, Primates, Cheirogaleidae. The record is from RefSeq and is a predicted model, not a curated record.
CUCAGCAAGCAAAGGCGGGCGAUGGCCCCGCUGUGGACUCCCCGCGUCUGGGUCGUCCUGAGGAGACACUCUCCAGGGUCCGCGCCGGAGAGGCAGGGACGAGCGCAGGCCAGGCGGUGCCGGUGCGUCCCGGGGCAGCGUGUUUCCGAGAGGCCGUUAGCAAGGAUCCGAGUCAGCAGGAUGCUCCGCGUGGGCUUUACAGUCCAGUUCAGGUUCCUUUGAAAAAGAUGCGUCUCCCCAUCCUUCAAGGUCCCAGGAGUCCCAUCAGGUUGAUGUCCCAGGAGACACACGACCCAGCUGCCUGCAGAAGCUCAGCAAUCCCUAAGGACUUGUUGGAAAUGGUUACCAUGAGACUUUCCUUCUUCACACACAACAAAGAAAAAAAAAUUAGAGUGGGGUAAUGGUGACCACUAUUACUUAGUAACAAAAUAAAGCAACCUUUAGUACUUUGUUUUAAAAAAUUUAUUUUAAAUGAAAAUAACCAAAGCAUAUUUGUUAAAUAUGAGGAAUGAGUAAUGUAGACACCCAGAGUUCUCAAGAAAGGAAAGGGGAAAUGUCCACAAAUUUUGCCUAAUGGUAAACAUCACCCAAAAUGCUUGUGAAAAAGGCACAUUCUCAUGUCCCACUCAGAAAAUGGGGAGAUUCUGCCAAAAGGACUAAGGGUCCAUAAUAUUAUAAAGGUACCACUGCUGUGAUUCCUAUGGUCAGGCAAGUGUGGGUAAAGCUGCCUUAGGCAGCGGUUCUCAGUGAAGCCACUGGAGGUGGUCAGUCAUAGCUGAAGGGCUCCUUAAAACUGGGUCCCUCUUUUAACACAGUUUCUUAUUCAGGCAUUUGGAGAGUGGCUGGAGGGUUUGCAUUUCUAGCAAGUCCCCAGGUGGUGCAAGAGCCACACAUUGAGAACCUCUGGUUUUUAGAGCAUAUUGUGAUGUCUGCUGUUGUGAUCUGCAAGCCUCAGGUGGCCUUGUGCCUAGGAGGCAUGUGACGCCUCCCGGGUCCUGCUGCUGUCUGUCCCAGAUCCUUCAGAACCUUCCUUAAGAAAAGAUUGCAGUGCUGUUUAUAGGACCGAUCCCAGCCUGGGACCUGAAAUCAGGAUGUCCUAUAGGAUAAAGAUACCCCCAGGAAAAGUGCCAGCUCUUGCCUGAACCCUGGAACACCCCCCAAAAGAUGGGUAUUUAAAGGACAAGGUCUAGCUGACCAUCACUCUUGGUUGCAGACAGAGGGGGAGGAGGGAGGCCACAGUCCCAAAAGACCUGGAGGGCCUCAGAAGCUCUUAGAUUCAGAGUCUAGAGAAGCCUAGAUUGCAGGCAGCAUCACCCACACUUCUUUUUUUUUUUUCCAGAAUGGGGUUGAGAGGAGUAUGAGAAAUAUAUUUCCUGGUCUGAAUAAGAUUUUUUUCCACAGAGGAGGUAGUUAGAAAAGAAGAUACAAAAUGGGCAUUUCUUUUUGGAUAUGUCUCCUUAAAGGAAGUCAGCAGAUCUUGCACAGAGAGAGAGGCCAUGUGAGAGCACAGUGAGAAGGUGAUCAUCCACAAGCCAAGAAGAGAGCCCUCACCAGAAACCACAUCCUAUCUGAACCCUGAUCUUGGAUUAUCCAACCUCCAUAACAGUGAGAAAACUAAUUUGUUGUUUAAACCAUGAGAUCUGUAGUAUUUUGUUAUGACAGCCUGAGCAAAAUAAUAUAGAUUUUGCUACUAUGGAGUUGGGUGCUGCUGUACUAAAUACCUAAAAACGUGGAAUCAGCUUUGGAACUUGGUAAUGAAUAGAGGGUGGAACAGUUUUGAGGUGUAUACUAAAAAAAGCCUAGAUUGCCAUGAAGGUACAGUUAGUAGAAAUUAUGGUAAUUCUGGUGAGAGCUUAGAAAGAAAAGAGAAAAGCUAGAGAGAAACCCUACAUCUUAGAGAAUACAUAAAUAAUCAUGAACAUACUAUUGGUAGAAAUAUGAACAUUAAAGCAAUUUUGGUGAGGGUUCAGAUGGAAAUGAAUAAAAAGUUACAAGAAACUGGAGGAAAGAAGAUCCUCAUCACAGAAUGGCGAAGAACUUCACUGAAUUGUGUUCUGCUGUUUUGUGGAAGGUACAUGUAAGCAAUAAACUUGUGCGUUAAGCAGAGGAGAUUUUUAAGCAAAGUAUUGAAGGUAUGAUUUGGGUCCUUCUAACUGCUUAUAGUAAAAUGCCAGGAGAGGGAGAUGAAUUGAAGAAAGCAUUGUUAAGCAAAAAAGAACCAGAACUUAAAGAUUUGGAACAUUCUCAGACUGUCCAUAUUGCAAAAAUGAGAAAGUGUGCUCUGAAGACAACACUAAGGAUGAGGCUAGACUAUUACCCGAUAAAGAGACUAUGAUAUUAGAUGAGCAGAAACACUAUAAGUUUGAACUAAAAGGAAUGGGCAUGUGAUGCUGCCAGACUUUUUGGAUUCUACAGGAUGAGACCACGAGAGCUAUUUGGCCACAAACAUGCACCAUCCUUCAAAGAAAGGCAAGAAUGACCCUGAGGACAAUUCAGAGAUCAUCAGGGCUGCCACUCUGGCCACAGGCCACCACAGGUAGAGCAAGGCUAUGUCUGUCUUGAUUUCAAAGGGUGGCACCGCCAUCAUGAUUUCAGCAGGCUGCUGUCCCCCUGAGCUGCAUAGGCUGGGCCUUCCCAACUCCUAUUGCCAAAAAGGAUUUUGGUUGUUAGACCACCCACUUCCCAGUCCUUUGGCUCUGGGAAGGUGCUUUUCCUGGAGCUUUUGUGUGUGUGCUGUUGGUGGUUCUGGGCUGGAGGUUCUGCAGUGCUCUGUUGGGGAUCUAUGGAAGGUCCUAAGAAACCCAGAAGAUUCAAUGCCACAUUGUCCUUCAAGUACCAAUGACCCAGGCAGCCUGCUUUCUUUGUUCUGCCUUUGAAGACUUCUCUGCCUGCUGUUGUGUUAUAUACAGGUUUUUUAGUUUUUUGAAGGAGCUUCUGGGAGGAAUGGGCUACUCCAUCUUGGCAGAAGCAGAAGUUUGUAUCGUCUUUGGAAGGUCAAAAAAUGUACUAAGGUGGUAGGUUGUAGGAAAUUGAUUACAGAUAGAGAGAAAUUUCAAGCAUGCAUGUGUGUCUUUUUUGAGUGUAUCUUCCAUUUCUGUAAUUUGGUUAUUUGCUGACAUUUCACAGUAAUUAUCUUUGAUUAUUACCUCUCUCUUCAGUGGUUGUUGUUGCUGAAAGAUUUUUUUGACUAUAACUCCGAGUUUCAAUGUCUUCGUCAACUUAUUUUAUCUGAACUAGUUAGAAAGUGGAACAGAAAAUGAAGGCAAGUAGCCAAUAAGACUUACUAUUCUUUAUCCAUUGCUCUCUAACAAUGUUUUCAACAAAUAAUCAUGAGGGAAGACAGAAAAUUGUAUCUCUGUGAGGAUGAUAUUUUUGAAUAAUCUAUUUAAUGUUCAAAGUGUUAUCUUGACAGCUGAAAUAGAAUUUCAUCAUUCAGAUGAUAAUCACAGAGCCCAGUAAAAUUUGGGGGAUGCUACCUGAGAUUUCAGAGAAGUUUCUCUCUGUGCCAGCUGGGAAUGUUAGCUGCAUUAGGGUCCCAUGCAAAGCAGAUCUCAGAAGAAUACUGGCUGGAAAGGAUAUCUGAAAUUUCAUUCUGUACUCAUUGGGGGCCGACAGAUGAGACCCUAAGGCUAACAUGAAAGAAAAAAUAUUUCUGUAAUUUUCAUAAUUAUUUUCUUUUUUACUUUAGG